This 522-nucleotide ribosomal RNA is filed under the name uncultured bacterium. RNAcentral describes it as "partial 16S ribosomal RNA". It matches the Rfam family "Bacterial small subunit ribosomal RNA", at positions 28 to 523 of the family's 1533-position model. The record is from RNAcentral.
GACGAACGCUGGCGGCGUGCCUAAUACAUGCAAGUCGAACGCAAAACUUUCACCGAAUGCUUGCAUUCACGAAAGUUUUGAGUGGCGAACGGGUGAGUAACACGUGGGUAACCUGCCCAGAAGAGGGGGAUAACACUUGGAAACAGGUGCUAAUACCGCAUAAUAACAAAAACCGCAUGGUUUUUGUUUGAAAGAUGGUUUUGCUAUCACUUCUGGAUGGACACGCGGCGUAUUAGCUAGUUGGUAAGGUAAAGGCUUACCAAGGCAAUGAUACGUAGCCGAACUGAGAGGUUAAUCGGCCACAUUGGGACUGAGACACGGCCCAAACUCCUACGGGAGGCAGCAGUAGGGAAUCUUCCACAAUGGACGAAAGUCUGAUGGAGCAACGCCGCGUGAGUGAAGAAGGUUUUCGGAUCGUAAAACUCUGUUGUUAGAGAAGAACGUGUGUGAGAGUAACUGCUCAUGCAGUGACGGUAUCUAACCAGAAAGCCACGGCUAACUACGUGCCAGCCGCCGCGGUAA